This 1260-nucleotide long non-coding RNA is filed under the name Callithrix jacchus (white-tufted-ear marmoset). RNAcentral's name for it is "lncRNA (ENSCJAG00000080170.1)". The record is from RNAcentral. Lineage: Eukaryota; Metazoa; Chordata; Mammalia; Primates; Cebidae.
ACAAAAUAAAGACUUUUCUUGACCCUAGGGGGAAGUGGGAGCAUUCCCAUGGACUUGCCACUUCAGUUACCUUGAACAGGAAACAUGAAUAGGACAAAUGAAAAUGAAGACUGUUUGACUUCUCGUGCCUAAAGCCUGGGCUAGAUCUAUUCAACAGAACUGUGCAAGGAACUCAAAGCUGUUGCCAAAAUACAUAUGCGUAAGAAGGGAAAUCAGUAGGGAUGGUCAAGAUUUGGCAUUCAAACACUGGCUUUGUACAGUAUGGACUAGCGGAAUCUCAGCUUUUCUUUCUUCUCCGCAUGGCUGACUUUCGGCUACAGAUUCUUGCAAUUUCUGCAAAGUUUAUGCUUUCUCCUCGGAUGAUUUGGGAGCGGGGAGGAGAAACAUUUCCUGGGACUCUCAUGGUUGAAUCCAUUCUGCUUUUAGGGUUUAAUUAAAAUCUCACUUCCUGAAGGAAGCUUUUCUAUUCCUUAGCAGAAAGUUUAAUGGUAAAUGCUGAAUUGCCAGAAGGAAUUGAGUCUUACAAAUUUAUUUUCUAAUACAAAGAAGCCUUAUAUUAUGAUUGUUUGUUUGUACAUCUAUAUUUCCUCCAUAAUAAUGUAAACUUUUGCAGAGAGAAAAUGGGUUUAGGGAGAAUGAAUUCUGAGUGCUUAUAAAAAGAGGGAGACUCCUGCUAAUAGCUUCGGAAAGUGACCUUUUAUUUCAGAAACUAUCUGGAGCUUACUAAAGAGUCUGCCUCCAAAGAAUCUAGGUCACAUUUUUGGGGUUUGGAGGAUGCUUCAUCCCCCAAGUAGAGAAGAAGUGAUCCCAGAAGUGUUUCUUCCACCUAAGACAACACUGGAGGAUUUAUUGAGAUGUUGCUGACAGAUCCCUUGGGACUCCCUGAUGGAAGAAUCUUGAACAUAAAGCAUAUAAGGCCUCUGGUACAAAGUGGCUCCACAACACAGGCCAGUGGCAGCUUUGAUUACAAUUAUUGUUAUUUUUGUACAUUUUAUUUAUUUACAUCCCUGCUUAGGCAUGAACCUAGUGAGAACCUACACACUUUCCUCCUGAACCCUAGACAAAUUGGUCUGUUUCCAUUCAUUUUCAUUUCUCAUGUUAUGUUUAUCUUAUUUUACUGAGAUUAGCUAUUCUUUUGUGUGGCUUUUGUUUUUUUUUUUGGCUAAAAUGUAAAUCUAUAGUAGGAGCCUAGAGCUGUUGGCUGUUUAUUUCUUUCUCCAGUUUCUUCAUUCACUCCCUCACUCACCCUCUCAAUCAGUC